Pseudomonas sp. FeS53a is the source of this 271-nucleotide regulatory RNA element. It matches the Rfam family "rne-II RNA". NCBI's taxonomy places the organism in Bacteria, Pseudomonadati, Pseudomonadota, Gammaproteobacteria, Pseudomonadales, Pseudomonadaceae. The record is from Rfam.
ACAAGUGUAGGGUGGAGAUGCACAACCGUCGGACUGCGUAGCAGCGCUUCAACCAAGACGUUUUAUUCCGUCCGCUGCCGAUGGCUGAUUCCUCCUCCUGAUAAACGUUGCUUCUGUUACGACAACAGCAGCGGGAGACGUCGUCGCGACCCCGGCCAGAUGGCCUGAUGUCGCUGGACACGGGAGCAUUAACCCGCUCCUGACACGCACCUGACACCGACCGCGAGAGUCGUGUGUGCCGGUCGCCGUUUCCGGUAGCCCCGGAAACCGA